Molecule: unclassified non-coding RNA, 134 nt
Filed under: fungal sp.
Lineage: Eukaryota; Fungi
Description: partial internal transcribed spacer region
Rfam family: Eukaryotic small subunit ribosomal RNA (bases 1-46)
Source: RNAcentral
AAGUCGUAACAAGGUUUCCGUAGGUGAACCUGCGGAAGGAACGACCAACCUGUGCAACCAUUGCGUGUUGAGCCCAUGGGCGUCGUAUUUUUGAAAUACUUGAACAACUGUUAACAAUGGAUAUCUUGGUUCUC